CAACUUCUUUAAACUUGUGGACAGGUCUGUCUUCAUUCCCAAAACGGGACGCUCAUGUCUGGUCUCUCCAGUCUUUUCUAGCCUUGAGUUAUAAAAUAAUAGUUAAAUGAAUUGUGUAACUCGGUUUCGGAUGAGUCAAUUAAGUUUAUUGUUGGGCAAAUGCUAAUAUAAACCUGCUGCUGUAGCUGAAAGGUGAGGCUGAGAGGCUGGGGACCGGAGGCUUGUGGUGCCAGGGUGGACCAGAGACUGAGGCUGGAGACCAGGGGCCUGCAGCACCGGACCAGAGGACCAGGAAUCCAUGGCUGAAGGAGCUGAUGGAGGAGCCGUGCUGAAGGCCCUGCCUGGUGGAGGAGCUGAUGGAGGCCCUACCUGGUGAAGGAUGUCUGUCGUUGGACCAGGACUCUGUCUGAGGAGAGCUGAUGGAGGAGCUGAGACGCUGCAGGACGACUAGGAAUCGACCAACAAGGAUUCCUCGUAAGUUUGUAUUUACUUAACAUGGUUGAC
Gadus macrocephalus (Pacific cod) is the source of this 504-nucleotide long non-coding RNA. RefSeq lists it as uncharacterized. The transcript is spliced from 3 exons. Lineage: Eukaryota; Metazoa; Chordata; Actinopteri; Gadiformes; Gadidae. The record is from RefSeq and is a predicted model, not a curated record.